GGGGCUUUAGCAUAACGGUAAUGCAUAUGACUUUUAAUCAUUCCGAUUUGAGUUCGAAUCUCAAAGGCCCUA
This 72-nucleotide transfer RNA is filed under the name Pyricularia grisea. RNAcentral describes it as "tRNA-Lys". It matches the Rfam family "tRNA". Rfam says of the family: Transfer RNA (tRNA) molecules are approximately 80 nucleotides in length. Their secondary structure includes four short double-helical elements and three loops (D, anti-codon, and T loops). RNAcentral also lists the same sequence under 4 other names. Lineage: Eukaryota; Fungi; Ascomycota; Sordariomycetes; Magnaporthales; Pyriculariaceae. The record is from RNAcentral.